This is a long non-coding RNA of Solanum stenotomum, 884 nucleotides long. RefSeq lists it as uncharacterized. The transcript is spliced from 3 exons. NCBI's taxonomy places the organism in Eukaryota, Viridiplantae, Streptophyta, Magnoliopsida, Solanales, Solanaceae. The record is from RefSeq and is a predicted model, not a curated record.
AAAAAAUGAGCGUGUUGGUGAUUGAAUUGGAAAAAGUGGAGGAUAAUCCAAAACAUGAUGAAAUAUCAACCUUGGAAAAGUUUCUAUUUAGCUUUCCUUCACUUGAACAACUUUGUUUGGGUUCCUUGGUCCUUGAGUUCUGGAUGAGCUUCCUCCCAAGCUCAACUGCUUGUGGUAUCUGCACUUAGGAGUUGAUUUCAAUAAAGUGGAUCAGACUUCUUGUGCUGUACAGUUAAUCAAGAGUUUUCCUAAUUUGAGUAAACUUCAGAUUACGGUCCAGGAUGGCGAUGACAAUGCUGAAACAGUUAUGAAAUAGCUGGAGACACCAACCUGCUUGAAUAGACCACUUAAUAAGCUUGAGUAUGUGACCAUCAAUUCUUUUCAGUGUUCAAAAACUGAAGUGUUUUUUGUAAAGCUAUUAUGUGCUUGCACUCCAUCUCUUGUAAGGAUGUACAUUCAGCAAGGGAUAGCCAUUGAUUCCAAGGAAGAAAGGAAUAUCACCAUAAAAUUGAUGCGUUUUCCCAGAGCUUCCACAUGGGCAGAACUGUUCUAUUUUCCAUUUGAGGCUACGAACGCAGACUGAUGCCCCUGUUCUCAAUGAGUUUUGUUAAACGAGGUACUGAAUUGGCCAAUUACGUAAAGCGUGUGGUUUCUGUGUCAAUGUGUGUGAUAAGAUUAAAAGUUUUUGUAUGCAUAUUUAACUACCUGUUUGGUAACUAAGGAUGGUAUUUGACAGGAAGUUCAUACAAUGAAAAUAUUUCCUGUUGGUUGUCUGGUUAGAGGCAUUAACACCUGUGUUUUUUGGGAUGGUGAGUUAGCAAUUGCAACCUGGUUCUAACCAAAUUGAAUGUAUUCACAUUUUUAUGUAGAGGUUUUGUUUCCUA